UACAGAGGGGGCAAGCGUUGUUCGGAAUUACUGGGCGUAAAGGGCGCGUAGGCGGCCUUCUAAGUCGAACGUGAAAUCCCUGGGCUCAACCCAGGAACUGCGUCCGAUACUGGAAGGCUUGAAUCCGGGAGAGGGAUGCGGAAUUCCAGGUGUAGCGGUGAAAUGCGUAGAUAUCGGGAGGAACACCAGUGGCGCAAGCGGCCGCCUGGCACUGACCUGACACUGAGCCACGACGGCGUGGGGAGCAAACGGG
Molecule: ribosomal RNA, 253 nt
Filed under: uncultured bacterium
Lineage: Bacteria
Description: partial 16S ribosomal RNA
Rfam family: Bacterial small subunit ribosomal RNA
Source: RNAcentral